Molecule: small nuclear RNA, 164 nt
Filed under: Salvator merianae (Argentine black and white tegu)
Lineage: Eukaryota; Metazoa; Chordata; Lepidosauria; Squamata; Teiidae
Description: U1 spliceosomal RNA (ENSSMRG00000015116.1)
Rfam family: U1 spliceosomal RNA
About the family: U1 is a small nuclear RNA (snRNA) component of the spliceosome (involved in pre-mRNA splicing). Its 5' end forms complementary base pairs with the 5' splice junction, thus defining the 5' donor site of an intron.
Source: Rfam by way of RNAcentral
AUACUUACCUGGCAGGGGAGACACCAUGAUCGUGAAGGUGGUUUUCCCAGGGUGAGGCUCAUCCAUUGCACCCCGGGUGUGCUGACCCCUGCGAGUUCCCCAAAUGUGAGAAACUUGACUGCAUAAUUCAUGGUAGUGGGAGACUGGGUUUACACUUUUCCCUG